GAUGAACGCUGGCGGCGUGCCUAACACAUGCAAGUCGAGCGGCAGCGAGGGGUGCUUGCACCCUGUCGGCGGCGGCGGGCCGCCGAGUAACGGGGUGGAACGUUCCCCAAAGUGAGGAAUUACUUCCCGAAAGGGUUGCUUAUACCGCCUUUUUUCUUCGGAUCAAAGGAUUUAUCCGCCUUGGGAGCGGCUCGCGUCGGAUUAGGUAGUUGGUUAGGUAAUGGCUCACCAAGCCGACGAUCCGUAGCUGGUCUGAGAGGAUGACCAGCCAGACUGGAACUGAGACACGGUCCAGACUCCUACGGGAGGCAGCAGUGAGGAAUCUUCCACAAUGGGCGAAAGCCUGAUGGAGCAACGCCGCGUGCAGGACGAAGGCCUUCGGGUUGUAAACUGCUUUUAUAAGUGAGGAAUAUGACGGUAACUUAUGAAUAAGGAUCGGCUAACUACGUG
RNAcentral lists this ribosomal RNA (450 nucleotides) under uncultured bacterium. RNAcentral describes it as "partial 16S ribosomal RNA". It matches the Rfam family "Bacterial small subunit ribosomal RNA", at positions 28 to 507 of the family's 1533-position model. The record is from RNAcentral.